This 54-nucleotide ribosomal RNA is filed under the name Ficus subulata. RNAcentral's name for it is "partial 28S ribosomal RNA". Lineage: Eukaryota; Viridiplantae; Streptophyta; Magnoliopsida; Rosales; Moraceae. The record is from RNAcentral.
ACGGGACCCCAGGUCAGGCGGGGCUACCCGCUGAGUUUAAGCAUAUCAAUAAGC